CACUAAGAAGCUAAACAGGGCUAUAGCGUCAGCCUUUUAAGCUGAAGAUUGGUGCCCACCAACCACCCUUAGUGA
Molecule: transfer RNA, 75 nt
Filed under: Sicyopterus squamosissimus
Lineage: Eukaryota; Metazoa; Chordata; Actinopteri; Gobiiformes; Gobiidae
Description: tRNA-Lys
Rfam family: tRNA
About the family: Transfer RNA (tRNA) molecules are approximately 80 nucleotides in length.
Source: RNAcentral